UAUCACUCAAUGCCUUGGUGAAUGUGGAGUUAGCUGCCAGGGCUGUCUCCGGUAUUCUCAAGCUAGGAAAAAUUGGGCAGUUGUCGCUCUUCACAUUGGCUCCCUGACAAUUCCUGCGGCAGGGAUCAUCACAGCAGUGCCUGAAUGGAGAAACCAGGCAGACUGAGUUUGAACAGGACACUGGAACAAGGGAGCCUAGUGCUGAUGCCAGAAGGUGUAAAACCAGAGGAGCUGAGAGGAGUGAUGCGCAGCAGGAGAGAAGAGAUGCUUUUGUAGUGGCAGCACUGGCAGAGUGAAGCUGACUCAGUGGGUGGAAGGAGCUGGAGAGGAAAUCUGGAUGUCUCAGUGCACUCUUAUGCUCCAAAGGCAGCCCAAAGCAGAGCAACCAGGACAUCGCCAUUACUUGGCAGGUGCCACUUCUGCUCACACUUGUCCAUGUGGGAAAAAAUCUCUGGAUCCUAUUUCUGAAAUCAGCUGAGAAGUCUUGAUGAUUCUGGCAGAUUGCUGUGUUUCAAAGAGUGAUUAUUCAACCCUACUCAGCCUCAGGAAAAGCAGCUGCGAUAUCCAAACAAACUGAAAUGUGAUAUACCAAACAAAAGGGUACUAAGCAGAGCAACAAGCUCUGCUGUGCACUUGUCCCAGCCCAGAUGAUGGGAGCGCGCAUCCCCAGCGAGCACGGCUGUGGGUCGUUCAUGGCUCAGCUUGCUCUCCUGCCACAUGCGAAGCGUUCCAGCUCACUUCCCGGGUCUGUUUCGCCGAGCUGGAGCUGAGACCGGUAGGUCUAGGUGGUACAGUGGAGGAGUUGUGUACGUCCCGUGGGCCACUCUGUACACAGGGAUGUGAUUGCUGACAGAGUAUGUCUUCUGUUUCUCUGUAAAAUGAGCUAAAGACAGUGUUGGGCAUCCACCACCAGCAUUUGUUCAAUGAGCUUUUUGCAGUCCACAGGGGAACAUGAAAAAAUUUGGGUGGAGGGGAAUAAACAGGGGAUUGCAAGAUAUCA
RNAcentral lists this long non-coding RNA (1000 nucleotides) under Apteryx owenii (little spotted kiwi). RNAcentral's name for it is "lncRNA (ENSAOWG00000011352.1)". The record is from RNAcentral. Lineage: Eukaryota; Metazoa; Chordata; Aves; Apterygiformes; Apterygidae.